RNAcentral lists this ribosomal RNA (448 nucleotides) under uncultured bacterium. Its description in RNAcentral is "bacterial SSU rRNA". It matches the Rfam family "Bacterial small subunit ribosomal RNA", at positions 330 to 792 of the family's 1533-position model. The record is from RNAcentral.
GCCAGACUCCUACGGGAGGCAGCAGUGGGGAAUAUUGGGCAAUGGGCGCAAGCCUGACCCAGCAAUGCCGCGUGAAGGAAGAAGGCCUUCGGGUUGUAAACUUCUUUUAUCAGGGACGAAGGAUGUGACGGUACCUGAUGAAUAAGCUCCGGCUAACUACGUGCCAGCAGCCGCGGUAAUACGUAGGGAGCAAGCGUUAUCCGGAUUUACUGGGUGUAAAGGGAGCGCAGACGGCAGUGCAAGUCUGGAGUGAAAGCCCGGGGCCCAACCUCGGGACUGCUCUGGAAACUGUACGGCUGGAGUACGGGAGGGGCAGGCGGAAUUCCUAGUGUAGCGGUGAAAUGCGUAGAUAUUAGGAGGAACACCAGUGGCGAAGGCGGCCUGCUGGACAGUAACUGACGUUGAGGCUCGAAAGCGUGGGGAGCAAACAGGAUUAGAUACCCUAGUA